CGAGUCACACUUGGAGCCAGGCUCGGAAAGUGUCAAGAAUAGCGUCUGGCACAGUAUUUCUGUACUACCGCUUCCUGCCCAUGCUGAAACAAGGAAGGAUAAGUCCAUGCAGCCUGCUUCAUGGGUUUCUUCUACUUCACAAGGAGCAUGCUGUGAAGGCUUUUUUGAGUCCCAGACAAAUGCUUUGAUAUCUUCUGAUAAACAGAUACUUCAAAGGAAAGGACAAAAUCUUCCAAACUGCCUGCCAGUCCUGCUUGCUGCAUUCAGCUCCCAGUUUCUGUGUCACAGAAACCAUCUCACAAGACUUCAGCUACUUAACUCAGAAGCUAAGAUUGUCUACCUGAUGUGACGCAAGAAUGAAAUGGCACUAUUUACUCUUGUCCAUCUCAAAAUUAAUCUUUUCUUAAACAACAUCAAGGAGAAUGAGAUGCUUUAGCUUUCUUCAGUUUGAAAGAUGUUGUUGGGCUGCAGAGUAAGAGCAUUAUCUGACACAAGUCUGCAGAACUCCCAGAGCUGGGAUGUGAUGGGUAAGAGAUUGUCUAAUAACAUAGUAGGCUCAGAGGCACCUGAAACGAAGCCAAGAUGAGCAUCUGUACUAGAAAUUCCACCUCUUGAUCACCUCUUGUUCUACCUCUUACAGAAUCUGAGCUUUCAAUUUUGGUUUUCACUGAAAGGCUUUCCUGCUUAUUCUAAGAUGCUGCAUAUGGUAUAAGGGGAAAUAGACAGUCUUUGGAUAUUUCUCAGCUGAACACCUAUGAUGCAAAAUUGUAGAGAAUGAAAUUCAAUAGCUGA
Molecule: long non-coding RNA, 792 nt
Organism: Lagopus leucura (white-tailed ptarmigan)
Lineage: Eukaryota; Metazoa; Chordata; Aves; Galliformes; Phasianidae
Exons: 3
Source: RefSeq, a predicted model, not a curated record